ACACGUCUACAUUAGAUACCCCCGGUAGUCCCAGCCGUAAACUAUGCGCGUUAGGUGUAUCGGUGACCACGAGUCACCGAGGUGCCGAAGGGAAACCGUGAAACGUGCCGCCUGGGAAGUACGGUCGCAAGGCUGAAACUUAAAGGAAUUGCGGGGGAGCACCACAACAGGUGGAGCCUGCGGUUUAAUUGGACUCAACGCCGGGAAGCUCACCGGAUAGGACAGCAGAAUGAUUGCCGGGCUGAAGACCCUGCAUGACUAGCUG
Molecule: ribosomal RNA, 265 nt
Filed under: uncultured archaeon
Lineage: Archaea
Description: partial 16S ribosomal RNA
Rfam family: Archaeal small subunit ribosomal RNA
Source: RNAcentral